Molecule: ribosomal RNA, 640 nt
Filed under: Microbacterium sp.
Lineage: Bacteria; Bacillati; Actinomycetota; Actinomycetes; Micrococcales; Microbacteriaceae
Description: bacterial SSU rRNA
Rfam family: Bacterial small subunit ribosomal RNA
Source: RNAcentral
GCAACCUGCCCUGGACUCUGGGAUAAGCGCUGGAAACGGCGUCUAAUACUGGAUAUGAGACGUGAUCGCAUGGUCGUGUUUGGAAAGAUUUUUCGGUCUGGGAUGGGCUCGCGGCCUAUCAGCUUGUUGGUGAGGUAAUGGCUCACCAAGGCGUCGACGGGUAGCCGGCCUGAGAGGGUGACCGGCCACACUGGGACUGAGACACGGCCCAGACUCCUACGGGAGGCAGCAGUGGGGAAUAUUGCACAAUGGGCGGAAGCCUGAUGCAGCAACGCCGCGUGAGGGAUGACGGCCUUCGGGUUGUAAACCUCUUUUAGCAGGGAAGAAGCGAAAGUGACGGUACCUGCAGAAAAAGCGCCGGCUAACUACGUGCCAGCAGCCGCGGUAAUACGUAGGGCGCAAGCGUUAUCCGGAAUUAUUGGGCGUAAAGAGCUCGUAGGCGGUUUGUCGCGUCUGCUGUGAAAUCCCGAGGCUCAACCUCGGGCCUGCAGUGGGUACGGGCAGACUAGAGUGCGGUAGGGGAGAUUGGAAUUCCUGGUGUAGCGGUGGAAUGCGCAGAUAUCAGGAGGAACACCGAUGGCGAAGGCAGAUCUCUGGGCCGUAACUGACGCUGAGGAGCGAAAGGGUGGGGAGCAAACAG